Molecule: ribosomal RNA, 147 nt
Filed under: uncultured eukaryote
Lineage: Eukaryota
Description: partial small subunit ribosomal RNA
Rfam family: Eukaryotic small subunit ribosomal RNA
Source: RNAcentral
UUAGAUGUUCUGGGCCGCACGCGCGCUACACUGAUACGUUCAUCGAGCUUAUAACCUUGGCCGGAAGGUCCGGGUAAUCUUUUGAAACCGUAUCGUGAUGGGGAUAGAUUAUUGCUAAUUAUUAAUCUUCAACGAGGAAUUCCUAGU